RNAcentral lists this ribosomal RNA (497 nucleotides) under uncultured bacterium. Its description in RNAcentral is "partial 16S ribosomal RNA". It matches the Rfam family "Bacterial small subunit ribosomal RNA", at positions 28 to 507 of the family's 1533-position model. The record is from RNAcentral.
GAUGAACGCUGGCGGCGUGCCUAAUACAUGCAAGUCGAGCGAACAGACGAGGAGCUUGCUCCUCUGACGUUAGCGGCGGACGGGUGAGUAACACGUGGAUAACCUCCCUAUAAGACUGGGAUAACUUCGGGAAACCGGAGCUAAUACCGGAUAAUAUAUUGAACCGCAUGGUUCAAUAGUGAAAGACGGUUUUGCUGUCACUUAUAGAUGGAUCCGCGCCGCAUUAGCUAGUUGGUAAGGUAACGGCUUACCAAGGCAACGAUGCGUAGCCGACCUGAGAGGGUGAUCGGCCACACUGGAACUGAGACACGGUCCAGACUCCUAAGGGAGGCAGCAGUAGGGAAUCUUCCGCAAUGGGCGAAAGCUUGACGGAGCAACGCCGCGUGAGUGAUGAAGGUCCUCGGAUCGUAAAACUCUGUUAUUAGGGAAGAACAAAUGUGUAAGUAACUAUGCACGUCUUGACGGUACCUAAUCAGAAAGCCACGGCUAACUACGUG